Molecule: ribosomal RNA, 569 nt
Filed under: uncultured bacterium
Lineage: Bacteria
Description: partial 16S ribosomal RNA
Rfam family: Bacterial small subunit ribosomal RNA
Source: RNAcentral
UGGGGAAUAUUGCACAAUGGGCGCAAGCCUGAUGCAGCCAUGCCGCGUGUGUGAAGAAGGCCUUCGGGUUAUAAAGCACUUUCAGCGAGGAGGAAGGUGGUGAGCUUAAUACGCUCAUCAAUUGACGUUACUCGCAGAAGAAGCACCGGCUAACUCCGUGCCAGCAGCCGCGGUAAUACGGAGGGUGCAAGCGUUAAUCGGAAUUACUGGGCGUAAAGCGCACGCAGGCGGUUUGUUAAGUCAGAUGUGAAAUCCCCGGGCUCAACCUGGGAACUGCAUUUGAAACUGGCAAGCUAGAGUCUCGUAGAGGGGGGUAGAAUUCCAGGUGUAGCGGUGAAAUGCGUAGAGAUCUGGAGGAAUACCGGUGGCGAAGGCGGCCCCCUGGACGAAGACUGACGCUCAGGUGCGAAAGCGUGGGGCAGCAAACAGGAUUAGAUACCCUGGUAGUCCACGCUGUAAACGAUGUCGAUUUUGGAGGUUGUGCCCUUGAGGCGUGGCUUCCGGAGCUAACGCGUUAAAUCGACCGCCUGGGGAGUACGGCCGCAAGGUUAAAACUCAAAUGAAUUGAC